This 408-nucleotide ribosomal RNA is filed under the name uncultured bacterium. RNAcentral describes it as "partial 16S ribosomal RNA". It matches the Rfam family "Bacterial small subunit ribosomal RNA", at positions 28 to 526 of the family's 1533-position model. The record is from RNAcentral.
GACGAACGCUGGCGGCGUGCUUAACACAUGCCAGUCGAACGACGUGGAGCAAGGGUGAGAAAUACGUGGGGAACAUGCCCUCCUUUGUGGUAUAAGCCUUGGAAACGGGGUCUAAUACCGAAUAAAGGGGGAUGGGCUCUCGGCCUAUCAGCUUGUUGGUGGGGUGAUGGCCUACCAAGGCGGUGACGGGUAGCCGGCCUGAGAGGGUGACCGGCCACAUGGUGACGGUGAUACGGUCCAGAUGGCUAAGUUGGGCAGCAUGGGGGGAGAGUGAACAAUGGGCUAAAGGCUGAUGCAGCGACGACGCGGGGGGGAUGAAGGCUUUCGGGUUUUAAACCUCUUUCGCUAUCGAACGGGUAGGUGGAGAAGAAGCGCCGGCUAACUACGUGCCAGCAGCCGCGGUAAUAC